UGGGGAAUUUUGGACAAUGGGCGCAAGCCUGAUCCAGCCAUGCCGCGUGCGGGAAGAAGGCCUUCGGGUUGUAAACCGCUUUUGUCAGGGAAGAAAUCUUCUGAGUUAAUACCUCGGGAGGAUGACGGUACCUGAAGAAUAAGCACCGGCUAACUACGUGCCAGCAGCCGCGGUAAUACGUAGGGUGCAAGCGUUAAUCGGAAUUACUGGGCGUAAAGCGUGCGCAGGCGGUUUUGUAAGACAGAGGUGAAAUCCCCGGGCUCAACCUGGGAACUGCCUUUGUGACUGCAAGGCUUGAGUGCGGCAGAGGGGGAUGGAAUUCCGCGUGUAGCAGUGAAAUGCGUAGAUAUGCGGAGGAACACCGAUGGCGAAGGCAAUCCCCUGGGCCUGCACUGACGCUCAUGCACGAAAGCGCGGGGAGCAAACAGGAUUAGAUACCCUGGUAGUCCACGCCCUAAACGAUGUCAACUGGUUGUUGGGAAGGUUCCUUCUCAGUAACGUAGCUAACGCGUGAAGUUGACCGCCUGGGGAGUACGGCCGCAAGGUUGAAACUCAAGUGAAUUACGGGGUCAUAGCUGUUUCCUG
This 585-nucleotide ribosomal RNA is filed under the name uncultured bacterium. RNAcentral's name for it is "partial 16S ribosomal RNA". It matches the Rfam family "Bacterial small subunit ribosomal RNA", at positions 355 to 1376 of the family's 1533-position model. The record is from RNAcentral.